GGGGAAUAUUGCACAAUGGACGAAAGUCUGACGGAGCAACGCCGCGUGAGUGAAGAAGGCCUUCGGGUCGUAAAGCUCUGUUGCCGGGGAAGAACAAGUGCCGUUCGAACAGGGCGGUGCCUUGACGGUACCCGGCCAGAAAGCCACGGCUAACUACGUGCCAGCAGCCGCGGUAAUACGUAGGUGGCAAGCGUUGUCCGGAAUUAUUGGGCGUAAAGCGCGCGCAGGCAGCUUCUUAAGUCUGAUGUGAAAGCUUGCGGCUCAACCGCAAGCGGUCAUUGGAAACUGGGAGGCUUGAGUGCAGAAGAGGAGAGUGGAAUUCCACGUGUAGCGGUGAAAUGCGUAGAGAUGUGGAGGAACACCAGUGGCGAAGGCGGCUCUCUGGUCUGUAACUGACGCUGAGGCGCGAAAGCGUGGGGAGCAAAC
RNAcentral lists this ribosomal RNA (426 nucleotides) under uncultured bacterium. Its description in RNAcentral is "bacterial SSU rRNA". It matches the Rfam family "Bacterial small subunit ribosomal RNA", at positions 356 to 773 of the family's 1533-position model. The record is from RNAcentral.